AGUUCCAUGGCCGCCUCCUGAAUUCUGGGCCCACCCGUGGGGUCCACCUCCACCCCCAAGACGAAAGGCACCUUGUGCUUCAGCUCCUUGGACAGUUUGGUAAUUUCAACCAAACCUACCGAUCUGAAACAAAACGCUUCGUUUUGAGAUAGGGACUUUAUCUGUAACUGAUUCUUCAGCUUUAGGAAAUCUUCAGGGUCCAUCAACAGGUGGAGGUCUUCGAUAUCGGCGAGAAGCAUCCAGAUCCUCUCCAGCAGGUAGCAGUCGUUGGCGGCUUCUUUGAAUUCCUUCUUCUCGAUUCGCCUA
RNAcentral lists this long non-coding RNA (306 nucleotides) under Carica papaya (papaya). Its description in RNAcentral is "long non-coding RNA (CPAP_LNC011256)". Lineage: Eukaryota; Viridiplantae; Streptophyta; Magnoliopsida; Brassicales; Caricaceae. The record is from RNAcentral.